GACGAACGCUGGCGGCGUGCUUAACACAUGCAAGUCGAACGCUGAGGCUCAGCUUUCUGGGUGGGUGAGUGGGGAACGGGUGAGUAACACGUGAGUAACCUGCCCCCUUCUUUGUGAUAACGCCCGGAGACGGGUGCUAAUACUGGAUAUUCACUGUUCUUCGCAUGGGGGUUGGUGGGAAGGUUUUGGCUGUUGGGGGAUGGGGUCGCGGCCUAUCAGUUUGUUGGUGGGUUGAUGGCCUACCAAGGCUUUGACGGGUAGCCGGCGUGAGAGGUUGACCGGUAACAUUGGGACUGAGAUACGGCCCAGACUACGACGCGAGGCAGCAGUGGGGAAUAUUGGACAAUGGGUGAAAGAGUGAUGCAGCGACGGAGCGUGAGGGAUGGAGGCCGUCGGGUUGUAAACCUCUUUCGAUAAUGGUCAAGCCGUAACAUUGGUUGUGGUGAGGGUAGUGGGUAAAGAAGCGCCGGCUAACUACGUG
Molecule: ribosomal RNA, 481 nt
Filed under: uncultured bacterium
Lineage: Bacteria
Description: partial 16S ribosomal RNA
Rfam family: Bacterial small subunit ribosomal RNA
Source: RNAcentral